This 469-nucleotide non-coding RNA is filed under the name Pan troglodytes (chimpanzee). Lineage: Eukaryota; Metazoa; Chordata; Mammalia; Primates; Hominidae. The record is from RNAcentral.
UGGAGGGAAGAAACAGAGCGAGCUACGCUGCGGGAGCGCAGUUACCAGCCGGCUGCGGUCACGUGCCUGGGAGGAGGAGCUGAGACCUCACGGGAGGGGCGCGCGGUAGCGUCCCGGGUCCCCUAGCAGGGCUCUGGAGACCACGUGAAGUCUCCUCGGAGCUGGUGUAGUGAAGGAUGAAGAGAAGGCAAUGCAUUGGUUUAGACAAGCCUCCUAGCAGGACCAUCCUGGUGCUGCCUUUAACCUUGCAGUAGGAACACUGAAAAACAUGACUGGCUCCAUGGAAGCAGGGGAUGUAGAAAUGCUCCUUAAUGUUGCUGCAAAACGGGGGAUCCAAGAAGCCCAAGAACUUCUGGAGAAUGUUAUUUGGACUAAAAGCAAGCUCUUGCCAACUGAAAGAACCGGGAGUUCUUAUAAACCAUAAUGUGUGCCUGCAUGCUCUUCCUGGAACAUGGGAUGUUCUGCUCUC